Molecule: long non-coding RNA, 579 nt
Organism: Leptinotarsa decemlineata (Colorado potato beetle)
Lineage: Eukaryota; Metazoa; Arthropoda; Insecta; Coleoptera; Chrysomelidae
Gene: bif
Source: RefSeq, a predicted model, not a curated record
AUGAGUGCUAAGUAUAUACUUAAAGUUCACUCAGUGAUUUGAAUUUCAAAUGAUUCUCGGGCGAGGAGAAAAUUCCUGUGGAAAUUUCUUUUAAAUUAAUCAGUUCAGUUGAGGAUAUCAUUUGUUGAUGGACCCGAAAUCUACGAGUAUCCCUCAGAAACUUCGUUAAUGGUGGAUGAUUCUAUGAAAUCACCAGUUCAACUUGGCCAUACAAUUCCUAAUCUUGGUGGAUCUUCCCUAGCAAACUAUACCCCAAAAAGUGCUGGAGAAUUCCAACCCGGUAUAACGAGAACCGUUCAACUCGCUGUUCCUGUCAAGCCCGAUGUGACUGAAGUAGAAAAUAUUCUCGAAGUAGUGGAAGAAACCAAGCCGUUCAGCUCUGGUACUAACGCAGAUAUACUUUUUUAACACAAUUUUUUACUGAAAGUAUUUGUAUAUUGAAUUCCAUCAGCCACAUUCCAGUAUUGAAAACUAUCACAUCUUUUGGAAACGUUUACAAGUUUGUAUAUUUAUAUCUACAUUGUGUUAGUGUGUGUUAUGUAAGGGUUUAUGUAUGAUUUCUGUUCGUUAUCCAAAAAA